Molecule: ribosomal RNA, 392 nt
Filed under: uncultured bacterium
Lineage: Bacteria
Description: bacterial SSU rRNA
Rfam family: Bacterial small subunit ribosomal RNA
Source: RNAcentral
AACGAACGCUGGCGGCGCGCCUAAUACAUGCAAGUCGAGCGAGAAGACGUAGCAAUACGUUUGUAAAGCGGCGAACGGGUGAGGAAUACAUGGGUAACCUACCCUCGAGUGGGGAAUAACUAGCCGAAAGGUUAGCUAAUACCGCGUACGCUCCUUGGACUUCGGUUCAGGGAGGAAAGCGAUACCGUGGGUAUCGCGCUCUUGGAUGGGCUCAUGUCCUAUCAGCUUGUUGGUGAGGUAACGGCUCACCAAGGCUUCGACGGGUAGCUGGUCUGAGAGGACGAUCAGCCACACUGGCACUGCGACACGGGCCAGACUCCUACGGGAGGCAGCAGUAAGGAAUAAUUGCGCAAUGGGCGAAAGCCUGACGCAGCGACGCCGCGUGGGGGAGU